UACGUAAGGGGCAAGCGUUGUUCGGAUUCAUUGGGCGUAAAGGGCGCGUAGGCGGACAGCUAAGUCGGAUGUUUAACCUUCAGGCUCAACCUGAAGUCUGCAUUCGAUACUGGUUGUCUUGAGUAUCAUAGGGGAAAGCGGAAUUCUCGGUGUAGCGGUGGAAUGCGUAGAUAUCGAGAGGAACACCAGUGGCGAAGGCGGCUUUCUGGAUGAAUACUGACGCUAAAGCGCGAAAGCGUGGGGAGCAAAC
This 250-nucleotide ribosomal RNA is filed under the name uncultured bacterium. RNAcentral's name for it is "partial 16S ribosomal RNA". It matches the Rfam family "Bacterial small subunit ribosomal RNA", at positions 524 to 773 of the family's 1533-position model. The record is from RNAcentral.